This 508-nucleotide ribosomal RNA is filed under the name uncultured bacterium. RNAcentral describes it as "partial 16S ribosomal RNA". It matches the Rfam family "Bacterial small subunit ribosomal RNA", at positions 36 to 538 of the family's 1533-position model. The record is from RNAcentral.
GACGAACGCUGGCGGCGUGCUUAACACAUGCAAGUCGAACGGAAAGGCCCUGCUUUUGUGGGGUGCUCGAGUGGCGAACGGGUGAGUAACACGUGAGUAACCUGCCCUUGACUUUGGGAUAACUUCAGGAAACUGGGGCUAAUACCGGAUAGGAGCUCCUGCUGCAUGGUGGGGGUUGGAAAGUUUCGGCGGUUGGGGAUGGACUCGCGGCUUAUCAGCUUGUUGGUGGGGUAGUGGCUUACCAAGGCUUUGACGGGUAGCCGGCCUGAGAGGGUGACCGGCGCGGUUGGGACGGAGAUCCAGCGCAGACUGGUGCGGGGGACAGCAGGGGGGAAAAUUGAAGCCAGGGGGGCGCCUUGAGGCGGCGACGCGGAGUGGGAGAGGCCGGCCUGCGGUUUGACAACCGCCUCCGCUGGGGGCGGAGCGUGAGUGAGGUAAAUGGAAAAAGAAGCACCGUCGAACUACGUCCCAGCAGCAGACGAAAUGAACAAGGAGCACAGACAUCACC